UACGUAGGGUGCGAGCGUUAAUCGGAAUUACUGGGCGUAAAGCGUGCGCAGGCGGUUUUGUAAGUCAUAUGUUAAAUCCCCGGGCUCAACCUGGGAACUGCGUUUGUGACUGCAAGACUCGAGUGCGGCAGAGGGGGGUGGAAUUCCACGUGUAGCAGUGAAAUGCGUAGAGAUGUGGAGGAACACCGAUGGCGAAGGCAGCCCCCUGGGUCGACACUGACGCUCAUGCACGAAAGCGUGGGGAGCAAACAGG
Molecule: ribosomal RNA, 253 nt
Filed under: uncultured bacterium
Lineage: Bacteria
Description: partial 16S ribosomal RNA
Rfam family: Bacterial small subunit ribosomal RNA
Source: RNAcentral